Molecule: ribosomal RNA, 292 nt
Filed under: uncultured prokaryote
Description: partial 16S ribosomal RNA
Rfam family: Bacterial small subunit ribosomal RNA
Source: RNAcentral
GUGUCAGCCGCCGCGGUAAUACGGAGGGUGCGAGCGUUAAUCGGAAUUACUGGGCGUAAAGCGUACGCAGGCGGUUUGUUAAGCGAGAUGUGAAAGCCCCGGGCUCAACCUGGGAACUGCAUUUCGAACUGGCAAACUAGAGUGUGAUAGAGGGUGGUAGAAUUUCAGGUGUAGCGGUGAAAUGCGUAGAGAUCUGGAGGAAUACCGGUGGCGAAGGCGGCCCCCUGGACAAAGACUGACGCUCAGGUGCGAAAGCGUGGGGAGCAAACAGGAUUAGAAACCCUGGUAGUCC